GAUGAACGCUGGCGGCGUGCCUAAUACAUGCGAGUCGAGCGAACAGAUAAGGAGCUUGCUCCUUUGACGUUAGCGGCGGACGGGUGAGUAACACGUGGGUAACCUACCUAUAAGACUGGGAUAACUUCGGGAAACCGGAGCUAAUACCGGAUAACAUUUGGAACCGCAUGGUUCUAAAGUGAAAGAUGGUUUUGCUAUCACUUAUAGAUGGACCCGCGCCGUAUUAGCUAGUUGGUAAGGUAACGGCUUACCAAGGCAACGAUACGUAGCCGACCUGAGAGGGUGAUCGGCCACACUGGAACUGAGACACGGUCCAGACUCCUACGGGAGGCAGCAGUAGGGAAUCUUCCGCAAUGGGCGAAAGCCUGACGGAGCAACGCCGCGUGAGUGAUGAAGGGUUUCGGCUCGUAAAACUCUGUUAUUAGGGAAGAGCAAACGUGUAAGUAACUGUGCACGUCUUGACGGUACCUAAUCAGAAAGCCACGGCUAACUACGUG
Molecule: ribosomal RNA, 497 nt
Filed under: uncultured bacterium
Lineage: Bacteria
Description: partial 16S ribosomal RNA
Rfam family: Bacterial small subunit ribosomal RNA
Source: RNAcentral